GAACGGGCAUAGCAAUAUGUCAGUGGCAGACGGGUGAGUAACGCGUGGGAACAUACCUCUUGGUUCGGAACAACACAGGGAAACUUGUGCUAAUACCGGAUAAGCCCUUACGGGGAAAGAUUUAUCGCCGAGAGAUUGGCCCGCGUCUGAUUAGCUAGUUGGUGUGGUAAAGGCGCACCAAGGCGACGAUCAGUAGCUGGUCUGAGAGGAUGAUCAGCCACAUUGGGACUGAGACACGGCCCAAACUCCUACGGGAGGCAGCAGUGGGGAAUAUUGGACAAUGGGCGCAAGCCUGAUCCAGCCAUGCCGCGUGAGUGAUGAAGGCCUUAGGGUUGUAAAGCUCUUUUGUACGGGAAGAUAAUGACGGUACCGUAAGAAUAAGCCCCGGCUAACUUCGUGCCAGCAGCCGCGGUAAUACGAAGGGGGCUAGCGUUGCUCGGAAUCACUGGGCGUAAAGGGUGCGUAGGCGGGUUUUUAAGUCAGAGGUGAAAUCCUGGAGCUCAACUCCAGAACUGCCUUUGAUACUGAAAGUCUUGAGUAUGGGAGAGGUGAGUGGAACUGCGAGUGUAGAGGUGAAAUUCGUAGAUAUUCGCAAGAACACCAGUGGCGAAGGCGGCUCACUGGCCCAUUACUGACGCUGAGGCACGAAAGCGUGGGGAGCAAACAGGAUUAGAUACCCUGGUAGUCCACGCCGUAAACGAUGAAUGCCAGCCGUUAGUGGGUUUACUCACUAGUGGCGCAGCUAACGCUUUAAGCAUUCCGCCUGGGGAGUACGGUCGCAAG
RNAcentral lists this ribosomal RNA (783 nucleotides) under Bradyrhizobiaceae bacterium ZD18. RNAcentral's name for it is "bacterial SSU rRNA". It matches the Rfam family "Bacterial small subunit ribosomal RNA", at positions 64 to 892 of the family's 1533-position model. Lineage: Bacteria; Pseudomonadati; Pseudomonadota; Alphaproteobacteria; Hyphomicrobiales; Nitrobacteraceae. The record is from RNAcentral.